ACGUAAUGGUUACGAUGUGCUCAAGUCUGGCGCAACUUCCUUUUAACCAAAAACUUUUGGCGGCGAGGAAGAAAGUAGUAGUAGUAGUAUCAUCAGCAGCAGGACAUGGCGCGGAGAGAGUUUCUUACAGACUGCAAUAGGGCAUUUCGGGAGUGUACUCGAUUGGCUCAAACAGACGAUCGGGAUGCUAUAGCAAUAAUAAUUACAAGGUAAGUGAUCUUGUUUUGUGGCACUGGACGCCCAUUAUUUCCCCCAGGGGCGGACAAGGCUAUCGGCAGUACCGGGAGUUUUCCCUGUGGGCCGGCCCUUUGCAAUGUAAAUGUAUGAAUGAAUUGUAGUAAAUAGUCCAUAGGCCCAUCUUUCCGUCAGCACAGACGAAUUGUUCGCGCGGGCGCGGCCCACAAAGACUCUAAUCAGUGUGCUCAGUCUGUCUAAAAGCGCUUAUCAAUGUCAAAAUGUUUGAGAUAACCAAUCAAAUCAAAGGAGGCGGGAUUUACUGUCCACGGAAACCGAACAGCGCUGCACUAUUUAAUGCUUGUAGAAUGCGAGCCGAGAUAACAUAAGCAGCUGAACAAAACAAUAUAGCCUACAGCAAUGUUUGCCAACUGUUUACGAUAAAUAAUAAUAAUAAACUGUUAAACGACGGGGAUUCAUUUCGAGGACGCACUUCUGACCUUUUCGGAUUGUUAUUCUUCACACAUUGGAUAAAGAAACAUUAACGUAACCUAUAGUGUUCAGCAUGUCAGAUAAAAGUGAAUGUGUGUCUGUUGUCAGGAUUUCUUCAGUAAUUUCACAAUCAUAAAACUCGAAAUAUUCUCAAACUUAAACUGCAUGGCAAAACCAGCAGCUUUCAUAUAACCUAUGUCCCGUAAAGUGUAAAACAUAUAAUUUUCUAAUAGUUCACACGCAUUAUUUUACAGACUGGCGAUCAAAAGUUUGAAAUAAGACUUCUUUAAUGUUUUUGAGGCGGAGAAGUAGGAGGAGGAAGAUAAGUAUUCUCUUGAGAAGGAAUGCAAUGAAGCAUUUUGCCUUUAACAAAUACCCAAACGCCCCUUUCUCCUAGCAUUUUUGUGCGCACAAUGUCCAUCUGUCGUGCUCGCUUGCUCUCAAUAGGCUACUGAGAAUCAUAAGUUAGGAAAGUCUGUCCUUCUCGGGCAGGUUUUUAUUAGUUUCGGUUUAGGAAAAAGGGCUCCACUUAAUAUUAAGUGGCCUUAAUACUAUGUACUUACAUCAAAAACCAACGCAUUUAUCAGAUCCAAAAGCAUUGUUGAGAGGAGUUAUGGAAAAGCACAGACGAAUGAUAUCACCAAUCGUUGUCGUUAUCAUGAUAGAAACUCGAGCAGGGAGUGGAGCAGCGUUUUCACAAGCAAAAUUCUGCUGCUGACCCAGAGGAUGGAGUGGAAGUACCAGAUAUCCAUCAGAGAAGAAUUUAUUUCGUUCAGACAUAUCACCUUUGAAUGACUGGGAUCUUGAUCUUCAGACACCUAAUAUUAUGCAAAUAUUUUACUUUCUUUAGCGCUCUAGAUUAAAACAAACACAGCUCAGAAAUAAAUAAGAUGUUGUACUUUACUCCUAUUACUCGAUGCUGAUCUUGGAUAAACAAGAAUUAAGAUAACCCAUCUCUGAGUCCAUGUAAUGCAAAUGAAUAUGUAUUUUAAAAAGGUUACACUUUAAAAACCACACACAGUGACUGUGACAGUUAUCUAUACAACCCCAGUGAAGUAAAACAAUAGGUAACUAUUUACCAUCGCUUCUGACUAACUGCAUGCUACAAUCUACUUGAAUAUGGACUCACAGAGAUUGAUUAUUUUCUUAAAAAGCAGUGUUUAUAUGAAGAAAGUAAUAUAGUACAUCUUGGAUGGCAUGAAAGACUAU
Megalobrama amblycephala (Wuchang bream) is the source of this 1875-nucleotide long non-coding RNA. RefSeq lists it as uncharacterized. Lineage: Eukaryota; Metazoa; Chordata; Actinopteri; Cypriniformes; Xenocyprididae. The transcript has 3 exons. The record is from RefSeq and is a predicted model, not a curated record.